AAAUCAUCAGCUCCGUGGACACCCGUACUGGGGCUGACAAAUCCUUCCAUGAUGCAGGACCGUUCGGUGGCACUGUUGGGUUGUCGUUAUCGAAGAGGAGGACUAUGAUGGAAAAUGGAGACCUUCUCCAGUGGGCUUCUCAAUCCGUGGUCAAUCUUUGCACUGCAAAGAGGAAAGCAGGGAUAUCAAGACCUUGCUGUCCAGGGCUCAGCAGUUUUAUUUGAUACUGGGCUGGGUAGUAAAUGUGUUAGUCUCAGCAAGCCACACUGUCUCUUUCCCAGUCCCCCACCUCCGCCACCAUAAGGUUGACUUACUCCAUAAACUCGGGGGAACCUUGGGGGCCUGUAAAUGGCGUCCCCUGGAAGUACUGCCAUCUGAGCCUGUUCAAGGGCUGUCUCAGGCAGUGUUCCCAGGGGACUAGACCUCUGAAGGUCCCAGGACACACAGCUGCUGAACAGUCCACAUGGCACUUGAAGAACAUACUUGAUGCCUAUGGUAGAACAUGGAAUUUCAGGGAUGCUCCAGCGGCAGUAAGCGGACCUCAAGCUGGAUGGGUGUGGUCAGUUCUACUUCAGACCACAAGAGACUGCCAUUCAUUCCUGGAAGCUUCCAGCUGUACCAUCUACCCAGCCUCCUCUGCUACUUAGAACCUUCACUGGUCACUGCUCCCUGCUCUCACUCCCAACCACCUUCACUUAUUUUAAUACUAACAUGGAAUGUGCUAAUAGUCGAUUAAACUGCUUCUCAUUGAGGGCUGUUAACAUUUUCAUAAGUUCAGGGAGCAUUUUAAGUGAAACAUGCAGAGCCAGGGAUGGAGCAGUGCACCUCCUCGUACUGAUGUGUGAUAUGAAGGCAGAUUGGUAAUUUGGUGGGAGUGGGUAGGAAGACUUAGAAGUAUUGCACAGGCGUCACAGUGUAUAGUCUCUGUGGCUCUGCAGAAUUCUGUUUAGGAUGGGAAUGACACUUUUUGAAAUUGUGUCACAUAGUGGCAACCCAGGCAGUGUGUGUGUGUGUGUGUGUGUGUGUGUGAGAGAGAGAGAGAGAGAGAGAGAGGUGGGAUAAUGCUCUUAUUCACGUAAAGAUUUGUCUCUCGUAUCGGUUUAAUUAAAUGCUGUUUGGCCAAUAGUCAGGCAGGAAGUAGAGGUGGGGCUACCAGACUAGGAGAAUUAUGGGAAGAGGAAAGGCAGAGACAAAUCAGCCAAACA
Molecule: non-coding RNA, 1205 nt
Organism: Cricetulus griseus (Chinese hamster)
Lineage: Eukaryota; Metazoa; Chordata; Mammalia; Rodentia; Cricetidae
Source: RefSeq, a predicted model, not a curated record